RNAcentral lists this ribosomal RNA (2305 nucleotides) under human gut metagenome. RNAcentral's name for it is "bacterial LSU rRNA". It matches the Rfam family "Bacterial large subunit ribosomal RNA", at positions 1 to 2303 of the family's 2925-position model. The record is from RNAcentral.
UUAAGAUACUAAGAGCAUACGGUGGAUGCCUUGGCGAUAUCUGCCGACGAAGGACGUGACAAGCUGCGAAAAGCUGCGGAGAGAUGCAAAUAAUCGGCGACCCGCAGACAUCCGAAUGGAGAAAUCCGGCUGUGAUGAUGCACAGCCAUCCAUGCCCAAGAGCAUGAGAAGGGAACCGGGCGAACUGAAACAUCUAAGUAACCCGAGGAAAAGAAAUCAAACGAGAUACCCCAAGUAGCGGCGAGCGAACAGGGAAGAAGCCCAAACCGGUGAAGGAAACUUUGCCGGGGUUGAGGACCAUCAGACCCGCGAAGAACUUUAGCCGAAACUGUUGGGAAACAGUGCCGAAGACAGUGAAAGCCUGGUAGGCGAAAAAGAGAAACGCGGAGAUGGCACCAGAGUACCGCGGGACACGAGAAAUCCCGUGGGAAGCAGGGGGGACCACCCUCCAAGGCAAAACACAGAUAUCGACCGAUAGCGCAUAGUACCAUGAGGGAAAGGUGAAAAGCACCCCGGGAGGGGAAUGAAAGAGAACCUGAAACCGUAUGUUUACAAGCAGUCGGAGACCGCUUAAUAAUAAGGUCGACGGCGUGCCUAUUGAAGAAUGAACCGGCGAGUUACGAAGCCUGGCAAGGUUAAGCAGGAAAUGCGGAGCCGAAGCGAAAGCGAGUCUUAAGAGGGCGCAAGUCAGGAAGCGUAGACCCGAAACCACAGUGAUCUACCCAUGUCCAGGUUGAAACACAGGUAAAAAUGUGUGGAGGACCGAACCUAUAUCCGUUGAAAAGGGUUAGGAUGAGGUGUGGGUAGGGGUGAAAUUCCAAUCGAACGUGGAGAUAGCUGGUUCUCCCCGAAAUAGCUUUAGGGCUAGCCUCAGGGAAAAGAUUGCAGGCGGUAGAGCACUGAUCAGGAGAGGGACCUACCCGGUUACCAAACCCAGUCAAACUCCGAAUGGCUGCAAUCAUACCUGGGAGUCAGACUGCGACUAAUAAGGGCCGCAGUCAAAAGGGAAACAGCCCAGACCAUCAGCUAAGGUCCCCAAUGCCGUGCUAAGUGGCAAAGGAUGUGGCAUUUCAUAAACAACCAGGAUGUUGGCUCAGAAGCAGCCACCAUUUAAAGAGUGCGUAAUAGCUCACUGGUCGAGAGACGCUGCGCCGAAAAUGUCCGGGGCUCAAGCACGGAACCGAAGCUAUGGCAUGAUAGCAAUAUCAUGGGUAGGGGAGCGUUCUUAUAAGGAAGAAGCAUGACCGGAAGGACAUGUGGACAAAUAAGAAGUGAGAAUGCCGGUAUGAGUAUCGAAAAGAAAGGUGAGAAUCCUUUCCACCGAAAGCCCGAGGGUUCCUGAGCAACGAUCGUCGACUCAGGGUAAGUCGGGACCUAAGCCGAGGCGAGAAGCGUAGGCGAUGGACAACAGGUUGAAAUUCCUGUACCGGAUCAAGUCGAUCGAGCGAAGGAGCGACGCAGGAGGGCACAUGAUCGCGCGGCUGGAAGAGCGCGUCCAAGUGCGUAUGUUGCUGCAGAGGAAAACCCCUGCAGCUAAAAGCAGAGACAUGAAGGGGAGUUAAAGGAAACUUUGACGAACUCAUGGAUCCCACACUGCCAAGAAAAACUUCUAGCGAGACAAGAUCCGCCCGUACCGUAAACCGACACAGGUAGGCGGGGAGAGAAUCCUAAGGUGCGCGGGAAAACCCUCGUUAAGGAACUCGGCAAAUUGCAUCCGUAACCUAGGGAGAAGGAUGGCCCCCGGUCAGUGAAGAGCAGAAACGCUCAGAGCUAAAAGGGGCGGCAGAAAAGAGGCCCAAGCAACUGUUUACCAAAAACACAGGUGCCUGCGAAAGCAAAAGCUGAAGUAUAGGUGCUGACGCCUGCCCGGUGCCGGAAGGUUAAGGAGAGAAGUUAGCGAAAGCGAAGCAUCGAACUGAAGCCCCGGUGAACGGCGGCCGUAACUAUAACGGUCCUAAGGUAGCGAAAUUCCUUGUCGGGUAAGUUCCGACCCGCAUGAAAGGCGUAAUGAUUUGGGCACUGUCUCAACGAGGGGCCCGGUGAAAUUGAAAUACCUGUGAAGAUGCAGGUUACCCGCGACUGGACAGAAAGACCCCAUGGAGCUUCACUGCAGCUUGAGAUUGAAUCCCGGUGACAGAUGCACAGGAUAGGUGGGAGGCGCCGAAGCAUUGCCCUAGGGCGGUGCGGAGCCGAUGUUGGGAUACCACCCUUCUGUUGCUGAGAUUCUAACGCGAGGAGUAACGACCCUGCGGACCCUCUCAGGCAGGCGGUUUGACUGGGGCGGUCGCCUCCGAAAGAGUAACGG